This 224-nucleotide ribosomal RNA is filed under the name uncultured bacterium. Its description in RNAcentral is "partial 16S ribosomal RNA". It matches the Rfam family "Bacterial small subunit ribosomal RNA", at positions 107 to 334 of the family's 1533-position model. The record is from RNAcentral.
UGAGUAAUACAUCGGAACGUGUCUUCUAGUGGGGGAUAACUGCCCGAAAGGGCAGCUAAUACCGCAUGAGACCUGAGGGUGAAAGCGGGGGAUCGCAAGACCUCGCGCUGGAAGAGCGGCCGAUGUCCGAUUAGCUAGUUGGUGAGGUAAAGGCUCACCAAGGCGACGAUCGGUAGCUGGUCUGAGAGGACGACCAGCCACACUGGGACUGAGACACGGCCCGG